AUUUGUGCCAUACCUGCUUGUCAACACCGAUAUCGUCAGAUCUCAGAAGCUAAGCAAGGCCGGGCCUGGUUAGUGCUUGGAUGGGAAACAGCAGGGAAUACCAGGUGCCACAAUAG
RNAcentral lists this ribosomal RNA (116 nucleotides) under Periophthalmus magnuspinnatus. The record is from RNAcentral. Lineage: Eukaryota; Metazoa; Chordata; Actinopteri; Gobiiformes; Gobiidae.